RNAcentral lists this small nucleolar RNA (85 nucleotides) under Sporothrix schenckii ATCC 58251. RNAcentral describes it as "Small nucleolar RNA R38". It matches the Rfam family "Small nucleolar RNA R38". Rfam says of the family: snoR38 is a C/D box small nucleolar RNA conserved across yeast, human, Arabidopsis and rice. The record is from Rfam by way of RNAcentral. Lineage: Eukaryota; Fungi; Ascomycota; Sordariomycetes; Ophiostomatales; Ophiostomataceae.
CGCUUCCAUGAUGAAUUAGACAAUCAUUAUACAGUUAUCCCUGUCUGAAUCCUAGUGUUGAUAUUAUCUACCUUCUGAUUUUGCG